GGCGGGUGCCAUGCGUCUGGAGCUUCACAUUCUCUGCCCCCCACCCACCGCGCCGGCGCUCCCUUGUCACGCCUCGGGAAGCGCGCACCUGCCAAGCAGUGAUGGUGUUUCACCAUGUUGCCCAGGCUGGUCUCAAACUCCUGAGCUCAAGUGAUCCGCCUGCCUUGGCCUCCCAAAGUGCUGCGAUUACAGGAUGAAUAAUCUGAUAUCAUGUGAAAUGAGGAAAUAAGAAGCUUUCUGCUGACUUCAUUUUGACCCAGGGUCCAAAAGGUGAUGUAAUCCUGUGGCAAGAAGAUUCAAAACUGUGGACUAUCUUGCAAAAAAUACAAGAAGAUAUUGAAAGUUUUCAUGAGUGCCUACCACCUAAUCUCAAACACUAUCAUUCAUAUGUGCCUCAUUGAGCAAAUCUUUAAUGAGGAUCUAUAUGCCAGCAAUAUCUUUUGCUUGGGAGCAGAAACAGAAAGUACAUGAUGGACUUCAUUGAAGGAUGGAGAUUUGGAAGACAUGAAUGGAUGAAGAACCAAGUGCGUGAGGGCACCUAUCAGGAUUAUUGCUGAAAUCCUUAUGGAGUUAACUGGCUGAGAGGAAGGCAAGCAAGCGAGGACUGAUGGGCCCUUGGCACUGUGAGAACAGUGGAGGAGGAGGGAGCAGGGUUCAUAAGGAGGAGCACAAACAGAAAGUUCAGUGGCCCCAAUAAAAA
Molecule: long non-coding RNA, 700 nt
Filed under: Homo sapiens (human)
Lineage: Eukaryota; Metazoa; Chordata; Mammalia; Primates; Hominidae
Description: novel transcript
Source: RNAcentral